RNAcentral lists this transfer RNA (63 nucleotides) under Ornithodoros noorsveldensis. RNAcentral's name for it is "tRNA-Trp". Lineage: Eukaryota; Metazoa; Arthropoda; Arachnida; Ixodida; Argasidae. The record is from RNAcentral.
AAGAUUUUAAGUUAACUCAAACUGUAUGCCUUCAAAGCAUAAUAUAAUAAUAUUUAAAUCUUA